AUAAUGUUAUGUGUUAGAUAGUUUAUGAAUUGUGUAUAAGUUAAGGUUACUUGAUUUUGGAGAAAAGUGUGUAAAAUAUAUUGUAUAAACAAUUUAUGUUUAUAUCUUCCGCAAAUAGUGAUAGAAUGAUUGAACCGAAUCUGCGGUGAUUUCGGACCCGAAUUCGGGGAUGUCACAUUACGUGCAUAGAUGGACUUGGUAUGAUUAUGACCAGUGAUUAUUCGGUAUAAUCAUGACCUGUAAUGUUAUAAAUGAUGUGGUAAAAAUCCUCAGUAGCCC
This 279-nucleotide long non-coding RNA is filed under the name Panax ginseng (ginseng). Its description in RNAcentral is "long non-coding RNA (PGIN_LNC006330)". Lineage: Eukaryota; Viridiplantae; Streptophyta; Magnoliopsida; Apiales; Araliaceae. The record is from RNAcentral.